RNAcentral lists this long non-coding RNA (225 nucleotides) under Gallus gallus (chicken). The record is from RNAcentral. Lineage: Eukaryota; Metazoa; Chordata; Aves; Galliformes; Phasianidae.
ACCACGUGCUGGUGGAAAGCAAGCACAAAAUUUUUUCUGCUUCAAUAUCAGAUGCAGGCUUUUCAUGAUAGUACAAAUAUGGUAAAGAAUAUAUUUUUUAUCAAUUUGAUUUAUUCAUAUUCAGUCCUUCUCUGAAAAGCAUACGCUUUUUCACCACUCUCACAGUAAAGAACUUCCCCCUGACAUCCAACCUAAAUUUUCCCUCCUUCAACUUAAAGCCAUUUC